This 496-nucleotide ribosomal RNA is filed under the name uncultured bacterium. RNAcentral describes it as "partial 16S ribosomal RNA". It matches the Rfam family "Bacterial small subunit ribosomal RNA", at positions 28 to 506 of the family's 1533-position model. The record is from RNAcentral.
GAUGAACGCUGGCGGCGUGCCUAAUACAUGCAAGUCGAGCGAACAGAUGAGGAGCUUGCUCCUCUGACGUUAGCGGCGGACGGGUGAGUAACACGUGGAUAACCUACCUAUAAGACUGGGAUAACUUCGGGAAACCGGAGCUAAUACCGGAUAAUAUAUUGAACCGCAUGGUUCAAUAGUGAAAGACGGUUUUGCUGUCACUUAUAGAUGGAUCCGCGCCGCAUUAGCUAGUUGGUAAGGUAACGGCUUACCAAGGCAACGAUGCGUAGCCGACCUGAGAGGGUGAUCGGCCACACUGGAACUGAGACGCGGUCCAGACUCCUACGGGAGGCAGCAGUAGGGAAUCUUCCGCAAUGGGCGAAAGCCUGACGGAGCAACGCCGCGUGAGUGAUGAAGGUCUUCGGAUCGUAAAACUCUGUUAUUAGGGAAGAACAAAUGUGUAAGUAACUAUGCACGUCUUGACGGUACCUAAUCAGAAAGCCACGGCUAACUACGU